AGGCGCCUACGGGAGGCAGCAGUAGGGAAUCUUCCACAAUGGACGAAAGUCUGAUGGAGCAACGCCGCGUGAGUGAAGAAGGGUUUCGGCUCGUAAAGCUCUGUUGGUAGUGGAGAAAGAUAGAGGGAGUAACUGGCCUUUAUUUGACGGUAAUUACUUAGAAAGUCACGGCUAACUACGUGCCAGCAGCCGCGGUAAUACGUAGGUGGCAAGCGUUGUCCGGAUUUAUU
This 230-nucleotide ribosomal RNA is filed under the name uncultured bacterium. RNAcentral describes it as "partial 16S ribosomal RNA". It matches the Rfam family "Bacterial small subunit ribosomal RNA", at positions 333 to 555 of the family's 1533-position model. The record is from RNAcentral.